This is a long non-coding RNA of Zeugodacus cucurbitae (melon fly), 4310 nucleotides long. RefSeq lists it as uncharacterized. The record is from RefSeq and is a predicted model, not a curated record. The transcript has 14 exons. Lineage: Eukaryota; Metazoa; Arthropoda; Insecta; Diptera; Tephritidae.
AGUUUCAAAGAUGCAAUCUGUUUUAUUUCUGCACUGUCCGACCAACGAUCCGUUUCGGUAAAUAAUCCUAAGGCAAUAACCAACCAAAAAAACCCAACAAAGUCAAAUCCAUUAAAAGUAGCAAAGUGGGUGAUAAAAUAUUCUGUGGAAUAAAUUGACGUUAUUUUGUAGAAUGGGAAAUAAAUUGUUAUUUUUGGGGCUUUUCUACACGCUACUCUACUGGACUAGCGCCAAAGGAGCUGAGCCCGACCGUUUAGCCAAUACAAUCGAAGAAGAGCAAAGUGUAGUAUAGGAAGCACUAGAAGGUAUGUCCGCGCAAAUAGUAGCAAUGGAGGAACGCUGGAAUCAGAAAUUGUCUAAAGUGUACAACCGCCAAACAAACAGCUUGAAUCAAAAUGUAAAUGAGUUAAGCAAUCAGCUGACAAAAAGUCCAGACGUUGUCACAACUCAGAAACGUCCAGCAGAGUUUGGUAAAUUCCGCAUUAUUUUGCAUGUUCAUCAGGAAGAAACUCGGUUUGAACGCUUUACAAAUUAGCGGUAUCUAAAACAUUCUUUUAUUGCUGAUUGUUUAUGUGAAUUUAUUUUUGUUUUUAGCUUGCGAGAAGAUUACAAACGAGUUGCGUUCGAGUAUAGAGUCCAAUUAUACUGGAAGACCCUCUCACCUGUGGCUUUAUAAAUCUGAUAAUCAACUUUCUAAAUUUUGCAAUGGUGCUUUGAUCGACAAACGUUUUGUUUUAACUUCGUCAGAAUGCAUUCGCACAACUUUACGAAAGUAAGCACUGAGCCUUUCUUAUAUUCAUGGAAAAUGAGAAGAAAAUAAAGGCAAUUCACAUACAUCCUUACUACUCAUCCGAAUCAGUUACCCUUAACAAUAUUGGGUUGGUUGAACUGGAAAGUGACGUGAUUUACACUUCCGAACUAUAUCCCGUGUGCUUAUACGUUUCCCAAUUGAAUCCAGAGGGCGUUGACUGGAUUUAACGGCAGAAUUCAGAUUGUGGCGGAGACUAAAUGUGUUGAUAAGUCUUCUAAUAGCCUGCAGCCAUCACAAAUAUGUGCAAAGAAUUCAGAAUAUCCUUGCAGUUACGCUGGCGAGCCGAUCUUUGUGGAAGAGAAAACGUACGCGAAAUAUCAACUGUUUGGAAUUGGAGCAAAGUGGACAUGCGAUUAUGAACCCCUUGUAAUAACCAAACUGUUUGAGCAACUGAACUUUAUAGAAAACAUUGUUUGGCCGAAAAGUGGAAACUGAAUUUCGAAAGUGAACAGUAUUGCGUUCUAUAAAUGAGCUAAGCAGUUUCUUCUGAUUCCGAAUUUCGAAAAUCGUUGUUUUCUGUGGUCUAGAGCUUAAACCGUAAAAAUGUAGUUUUGACUUUGAAUACUCAAAUGAAAUAUAAACAGACAACCUAAUUCUAAACUUGUAAAGAGUGUCAAGAAAAUGUGGAGCCUUCAACUGGAUACUUGCAAAUUUUAAUUGACACUGCUUUGAUGCAUUACUCCAUCUUAUCUCUCACUUUUACUUUAUAGUACUUUUCGUUUACGAUCUUGUUGGAACUAAUAUAGUUUCAGAAUCUUAAUAUUGGCUACUUAUUCAUCCAAAGCUAGUAUAACCUGAGAAUAUCUAAAUAUAUUAAGUAGAGUAAACAUCGAACAAGUAUAAGAUUACUGUGUCAAAUCUCUUAAAGGGUUAAAGUAUUCUGAAGGGAUCUCUUAUUCCGAUUCUAUAAAUGUAUAUCGCAUAUUAAAUAAUUAAUAAAUUAUGACAUUUAAUAGAUAAUGCAAUUAGAUUCACCAAUUUGGUACAGAUUUUGCUUUAGAGGCUUCAUUGAUCCUUAUUUACUGUUAUGUGGCAUUGAGAACAACACCGUGCUUGCGCAUUUCUAUGUUUAAUAAUUCACAUUAUUUUAGAGAACGUAAUCUAUUUCCAACUGGUCGGCUGCAUAUUCAAGUCGGCGAAGGUGGCAAUGAACUUUCAUUAUGGAUUUAUAAAAAAUAAUAAAGUCAAGGAGCACAACAAUCACUACAAUUCUUCUGAAAUACAUACAUACAUAUAUAGUAUUAUUCACCGUUAUCAUCGAAGUCGCAGUUGACCUUAUAGUGCUUGUUCAUGCAUUUUUUGCAGGAGUUAUAAAUAACUCAAAACGCGCAAAACUGAAUGCGCUGAUAACAUAUUUGAAUAAAAUAAUUACUUGGUGUAUGUGCACCAACGCAAUGAAUGGUCGCUGCUUGCUUACUUUUGGUGUACUCCAUUGCUGUUUUAUUUCAGCAGCAGAGCUAGCUGCUCUCAUGCGAUCAGCUGACGCUAUGUUCUGCUAUUUUUUGUUUUUUUGUUAAGAAACGUUUUUCCCGGAGAAGCUUGGCUAAUUAGCACUAGCUAACUCUAAAACACCUAAUGAGUCAUGUUAAGCUGAAACAAAUGUUUCGGUGAAAUAACUAUAGAAAAUAUAAAUAACUAUAUAAAUAUAUCGUUGUUUUUCAUUAUAGCAUAUCGCUGUAUAUAAUAAUAAAGUAAAAUGUACAUAUAUCCAAAGUUGAAGUAAAAUAUAAAGGUAAGGCAGAAGCAUUAAACAGACACAUGCCAAUAGUACGGACGUCAUCGAUACUGAGGAGAUUAGCAUGGGUACACACAGCAUCUGAAGUGCUUAUAAAUAUUUCGUCUCGUGUCGUCACGAUUAAUGUGAGUAGAACAGUAACUCAGAUGUGUAUGUGUAUAAAUGUACAAAGAGCAAGCCCUCAAUCAAGCGAGCUUUAAAAAAUAUUUAAUAAUGUUGAGUGGCAUUUAAUCUACAGUAGAAUAACGCUGUAUUUUAAAAAAGUCAUUAUGAUAUACAUAUACAUGGCGCUCCAUUUGCUCACGAGAAUGACAACCCGUGCAUGUGCGAUCACUUACGCUCUUGUAACACAUGCUAAGGCUCCGCCCAUGCCUGCUCGUAGAUGGGAGACUAGUGAAAUUUGCUUUGGAGCAACAAUCUGUUUGGUAAAUACGCAACAUACACUAUAAAUGGAUUAGCAUAUUUCCUCAAAUCACACUGCUCAUUCGUUGGUCGGUGAUCGUAUAUAUAAUAUUUACUUAGCUAACUGUAUAUAAUAUAUGUACAUAGUUGUGUGUAGCAUUCUGUCGUAAUGACUGGAGAACACACAUGUAACACAUGUUAUUUGGAUAGAGACUCGGUUUCAUCUCCUCUUCAGCUCUUCUCUUGGAAGCAGUUUCAUUUAAAUAUUUCCUUCAGUUUAAAAUAAAUUUAAACGGUUAAUAUUCAUACGAACGGUUACAAACCGGAUAUUCGAAUAAUUGGUUUUCGGGUUAUUCGAAUAAUUUUAAGAGCCCUAAUACAUACCUGAGCAACAUGUUGCGUGAGAACAAAAAGUAGCGUAAAGAAACUGUGGUGAUCUGCAUUCUUAUCAUUCGUGAAAUUGAUGUGAAAUUUUAUGCUUUCCAAACACCGUCGCUUGAGUGACGGUGUCCCUCCACUGUUUCUAAUUCAGUACUCUUUUGCGGUUCUCUCAACAGUAGAAUGAUUCUAUUUACAAUAUUUGACAAAAUCGCGCCCAAUAACUGAUAAAAAGCUUCAGAGACGAAAUCAGUUUUAUUUCUGCGCGGUAUCAAAACGGAUCGCGUGUUAUUAACCAAUUGAAAUUAUUUUGUAAUAUGGAAAAUAAACUGAUAUUUCUUGGACUUCUUUUCGCGCUACUACGCACGCAAAAGAGGCGGACCCCGACCCCUACCUUGAUGUUGGGUCCAUAACUAUAUAUGUAGACGCCGGUAAGGAAAUAAACAAUUACCUAACUUUGAGUAAACAAAUCGAAAAAACACAAAAUCUUAUAGAAAGUGCGCUGGAAAGAAUGUCUGACGAAAACAAAGCAAUGACAAAAAGAAUUUCUGACUAAGCUAAAGCAACAGAGGAAAAAUGUAAUCAACAAGUGACAGCGGAGGCCAAAGCAACAGAGGAAAGGUUAAAUCAACGAGUGCCAGAGGAGGUCAAAGCUACAGAGGAAAGAAAGCUACAGAGGAAAGGUGGGAUUAAACUUGAAUAAUAUUACAUCAAUAUGUAUUUUUAUAGCGCUGGGAUCCAAAAUAUAUUAUAUAUAAGUUUCUAUUUACUCUAUUCCAACAUAUUUGCUUCCGUUACUUUUUAUUUAAUGGUUUUCUUGCAAAUCUCCUUACAGCUCAGAAGUCGCCACACCCGACAAACGUCCAGCAGAGCGUGCUUGCGAGGAAACAAAAAAGGAUUUACGAUCGCUUGGACAGAUCGAAUUUUUUGACUUUGCCUACUACGUAUUUAAGCUUUUCACACCUAGUUCUAACAUUUCUAAAA